UGAGCCUCACUCUCCCAAAUCUCAAUUUCUUUGGCUUUGGUGAAAAUGAUUUUUCUGGGUCAAUUCCAAAUUCAUUAUUCAAUGCCUCUCGGUUGGAAAUAAUUAAUCUUGGUUGGAAUGAAUUUGCUGGACAAAUGCCAAUAAAUAUAAGAAAUCUAAAAAAUCUCGACUUCAUUGAAAUAAUUUGGGAAACAACUGAUAAUCUUGGAAAAAUUUUGGGGGGGGGCUAGUUUACCUAAUUCUGUGUCCAAUCAGUCAAUUGAACUCGAUCUACUUUAUUUUUGGGUGCAAUCAAAUCAAAG
This 302-nucleotide unclassified non-coding RNA is filed under the name Hevea brasiliensis (rubber tree). The record is from RNAcentral. Lineage: Eukaryota; Viridiplantae; Streptophyta; Magnoliopsida; Malpighiales; Euphorbiaceae.